CACAGAAGCAACGUCUCAAUCUCACGGGAGCAUAAACAAUCAAAGAUCUGUCCACUAAAGUGACUGUACCAGCCACAACAAGGAAGCAAGGAUAUAAUUUCCUUCUCCUUAUCUCUUGGAACUAAUAGAUGAAGAAAAGAUCCAAGAAAGAGUUUUUCAUACAGCCUGUGAGACAGGGACUUAGACCAAUUGUCAUUUUUCUUUGGCUUGUGGUCUCCAGGUCCUAAAAGCCUCCCCCACUGCUAAUUCAGAUUCACCCAGUGGCUGCCAAUGACUUCCAGGGUCCAGCAAACUGUGAGUUACCUUACACUGUAGACUGCCCUGUCCUGGAGUUUUGGCUCUUACUGUAGGUUUUGACAGGGGCU
RNAcentral lists this long non-coding RNA (365 nucleotides) under Monodelphis domestica (gray short-tailed opossum). Its description in RNAcentral is "lncRNA (ENSMODG00000049239.1)". The record is from RNAcentral. Lineage: Eukaryota; Metazoa; Chordata; Mammalia; Didelphimorphia; Didelphidae.